This 422-nucleotide ribosomal RNA is filed under the name uncultured bacterium. RNAcentral describes it as "bacterial SSU rRNA". It matches the Rfam family "Bacterial small subunit ribosomal RNA", at positions 355 to 774 of the family's 1533-position model. The record is from RNAcentral. RNAcentral also lists the same sequence under 1 other name.
UAAGGAAUAUUGGUCAAUGGGGGCAACCCUGAACCAGCCAUGCCGCGUGCAGGAUGACUGCCCUAUGGGUUGUAAACUGCUUUUGUUAGGGAAUAAACCCCACUACGUGUAGUGGGCUGAAUGUACCUAAAGAAUAAGGAUCGGCUAACUCCGUGCCAGCAGCCGCGGUAAUACGGAGGAUCCGAGCGUUAUCCGGAUUUAUUGGGUUUAAAGGGUGCGUAGGCGGCACUUUAAGUCAGGGGUGAAAGACGGCAGCUCAACUGUCGCAGUGCCCUUGAUACUGAAGUGCUUGAAUGCGGUUGAAGACGGCGGAAUGAGACAAGUAGCGGUGAAAUGCAUAGAUAUGUCUCAGAACACCGAUUGCGAAGGCAGCUGUCUAAGCCGUUAUUGACGCUGAUGCACGAAAGCGUGGGGAUCGAACA